This 254-nucleotide ribosomal RNA is filed under the name uncultured bacterium. Its description in RNAcentral is "partial 16S ribosomal RNA". It matches the Rfam family "Bacterial small subunit ribosomal RNA", at positions 524 to 776 of the family's 1533-position model. The record is from RNAcentral.
CACGUAGGAGGCGAGCGUUGUCCGGAAUCAUUGGGCGUAAAGGGCGCGUAGGCGGCCUGCUAAGUCGGACGUGAAAUCCCUCGGCUCAACCGGGGAACUGCGUCCGAUACUGGCGAGGCUUGAAUCCGGGAGAGGGAUGUGGAAUUCCAGGUGUAGCGGUGAAAUGCGUAGAUAUCUGGAGGAACACCGGUGGCGAAGGCGGCAUCCUGGACCGGUAUUGACGCUGAGGCGCGAAAGCCAGGGGAGCAAACGGG